Molecule: ribosomal RNA, 444 nt
Filed under: uncultured bacterium
Lineage: Bacteria
Description: bacterial SSU rRNA
Rfam family: Bacterial small subunit ribosomal RNA
Source: RNAcentral
CCAGACUCCUACGGGAGGCAGCAGUGGGGAAUAUUGCACAAUGGGGGAAACCCUGAUGCAGCGACGCCGCGUGAGUGAAGAAGUAAUUCGUUAUGUAAAGCUCUAUCAGCAGGGAAGAAAAUGACGGUACCUGAGUAAGAAGCCCCGGCUAACUACGUGCCAGCAGCCGCGGUAAUACGUAGGGGGCAAGCGUUAUCCGGAUUUACUGGGUGUAAAGGGAGCGUAGACGGCAGUGCAAGUCUGGAGUGAAAGGCGGGGGCUCAACCCCCGGACUGCUCUGGGAACUGUCAGGCUGGAGUGCCGGAGGGGUAAGCGGAAUUCCUGGUGUAGCGGUGAAAUGCGUAGAUAUCAGGAGGAACACCGGCGGCGAAGGCGGCUUACUGGACGGCAACUGACGUUGAGGCCCGAAAGCGUGGGGAGCGAACAGGAUUAGAUACCCCCGUA